UCAGACGAUGCGUCAUGCAUAUCAAUAAGCGGAGGAAAAGAAACUAACAAGGAUUCCCUCAGUAACGGCGAGUGAAGCGGGAAGAGCUCAAAUUUGAAAUCUUCAAGGUUUUACCUUGACGAAUUGUAGUUUAAAGAAGUGUUUUCUGCUGAAGUUUUGGUAAAAGUUCUUUGGAAUAGGACAUCAUAGAGGGUGAGAAUCCCGUAUUUGACCAUUAUUUUCAGCUUUGUGAUACACUUUCAAAGAGUCGGAUUGUUUGGGAAUGCAGUCCAAAAUGGGUGGUAAAUUUCAUCUAAAGCUAAAUAUUGGCGAGAGACCGAUAGCGAACAAGUACCGUGAGGGAAAGAUGAAAAGAACUUUGAAAAGAGAGUUAAACAGUACGUGAAAUUGUCAAAAGGGAAGCGUUUGACACCAGUGUUGUUUUUCUGAAAAUCAACCUCUGUUAGCUUUAUGCAUGUUUGUUUAGACCUAAUCAGCUAUCUUGCAUGUUCUAUUGUUUGCAGUGGUGCACUUUUCAGUUUACAGGUCAACAUCAGUUUUUUUUACCGUAAAAAAGUUAAAGAAAGGUAGCUCAUGGCUCCGGUCGUGAGUGUUAUAGUCUUUUUCCUAUGCGGUAGGAGAGACUGAGGUCUGCAGUGUAGGCUAUUUGGCUAGAUACUCAGGUGCUAUGGGAUACCAUUUCAUAAACAACUUGUUGAUUAUGUUUUGUCUAUUGCAUACUCGCUUGUACUAUCAUACCUACGCUUAGGAUGUUGACUGAUAUGUAGUCGUA
RNAcentral lists this ribosomal RNA (772 nucleotides) under uncultured Neocallimastigales. Its description in RNAcentral is "partial large subunit ribosomal RNA". It matches the Rfam family "Eukaryotic large subunit ribosomal RNA", at positions 18 to 644 of the family's 3401-position model. The record is from RNAcentral. Lineage: Eukaryota; Fungi; Neocallimastigomycota; Neocallimastigomycetes; Neocallimastigales.